RNAcentral lists this ribosomal RNA (230 nucleotides) under uncultured bacterium. RNAcentral's name for it is "partial 16S ribosomal RNA". It matches the Rfam family "Bacterial small subunit ribosomal RNA", at positions 1090 to 1319 of the family's 1533-position model. The record is from RNAcentral.
CAAAAAGGGCACCCCCUUUCCUUUUUGUCCCCCCCAUAUAGUGGGGCAUUUUAGGGGGACUGCCGGGGAAAACCCGGGGGAAGGUGGGGGAUGAGUCAAUUUCCUCAGGCCCUUUACCCCGGGGGUCACACAGNUGUCAAAUGGCCGGUGCAAGGGGUGGCAAACGGGGAAAGCGGGGGCAAAUCUCAAAAACCGGUCUCAGUUCGGAUUGUGUUCUGCAAUUGGAUCCC